UUUCUCUCCCAGUCACUGCUUCGUCCUCCGGGUUCGGCGCCGAAAAAAGAUCCAACCCGCCUAGCCGCCGCCUAGCCGCCUAGCGCCCGCCUAGCCACCGCCUAGCAGCCUAGCGCCCGCCUAGCCACCGCCUAGCCGCCUAGCCGCCCGCCUAGGCCUACUUUUCAGUUCUCGCUCUCCAGCAUCCAAACGCAUUCUCUCUCUCCCCUUCUCGUCAAGGUUUUUCUGUGUUGAAAUGAGACUGAACAUAGUGGAACAAAAACAAAUUUCAUGUGAAAAAUGCGGUCCAAGUGUUUGGAAUUGCAGCAAGAUUUCUUUUUGGAAGCUUAAAUGUCGGGAAGCAAAGUGUUGCUAACGUAUAAGCGAAAGCGGGAAUCAAGAACAGAUCAUGUACAUGGUUGUGUUUCUCUUAUGUGUGUCUAACACUUUGCCCCAUAAAACUAGCUACUAAAAGAAAUGGGAAUUUAUGAUAUCAGUCAGAAAGAUUAUAGAGUCUCCAAAUCAGUUUUAACAGAUGCCUUCCUUACCAGCUCUAAAACUGCAUGAGUUCUCAUAGAUGACAUUAAGCACCUCAAUGGUAGUUAAGAUUGUCAUAUAUGAUUUAUUUGUGUUUAUUACUAAUAUAUUUGUAUUAAUUAAGGUGCAUAUCUACUAUAUGUAACAGGGAAAUUAUAAUUUGUGGACCUCAGACAUGCAUGAAUAUUUUGCUGGUCAAGUUACACCA
Long non-coding RNA from Prunus persica (peach), 724 nucleotides. RefSeq lists it as uncharacterized. The transcript has 2 exons. NCBI's taxonomy places the organism in Eukaryota, Viridiplantae, Streptophyta, Magnoliopsida, Rosales, Rosaceae. The record is from RefSeq and is a predicted model, not a curated record.